GGGGAGGGAAGCGCCGCUGCCUCGCCAGCCCCGGGCCUGUGACACGGGCGGUUUCGCUGGCAGCGGGUAUAUUUAGCACUUCCCCGAGCCCUUCGUGUGCUCCUGCCGCCGUGCGAGCGCUCGGUAAUUAAUUGACGCGGCUCUCGGCGGUGGUCCCGGGGCUUGCGGUGGCCCCCCGGGGUUAAUGGUGGCCCCCCGGGGCUUGUGGUGGCUCCCCGGGGUCGUGGUGGUCCCGCGGCCCCACAGGUUUUCCUGACUGUUCUGUGGCCCUGUCGCUGCAGCCGCCAUGGAUCCGAAUGCUGUGGCUGCAAAGGCUUCUUACUUUCUCAUACUGGAUCCCUCAAAUCCAAGAGCUGCUUGGCAGUUUCCAAGGCAACCACCUGUGGAAUAAUUAAAAAGGAUGAAGCGUUAGUGUGCCAAAGAUACGGAAUUCUUGCCUGGAGAGAGCACUUCAUUUUCAUCUGUUGUGAAGAAUCAAAUGUGUCUCUGCCAGCAAAGUUAAGAAGAAGAAAUGGUGACCGAGCUGUGCAAGUGAACCAGGACAAUCCAAAAAAUUCAGAAGGCGUCUGUGAGCGGCCGGGCAGGACUAGCACAGGAGAGGUGCUUCUGGUACCUGCUGCCUCUCGCCUGGGGCUUGUGCCAGCAAGGAGCCGAGGUGCCGGCUUCACAUCACACCUGGGCUCGAUUUCGGAUGCUUCUCCUGGCAACGCAGGGGGGCAGGUGCAGGAAGCUACUACAGGGAAGGAGGCUUACUAGUUUUCUCAAGGCUUGGGAUUAUGCAGUGGAGCAGCGUAUUUUAGACGCUACGGAGAAAGUUCACAACAGCAUGGUCAAAAGGUGCGUUGCUCAGAAAUACAUCCCCUUUGCUUGGCUUAUUUCACUUCGAUUUCAGAUUGUAGAGGUCUAAGCCUUUCCAGCUAUCAUUCUAAACGCUAAAUGGGAGUAGGUGGCCUGAAGUCUACGUAUUAACUUAAUUGUUUCCUGCUGUUGUAAAGUAGAUUUUAUUUCUGGCGAUAUUAUCUCUUAAUACUUUCAUUACCGGGCUUUUUCUGUUUGUUUGUUGAAGGGACACACUCAAGAGAAAGUGAAGGGAAACGCUCACUUGAUCUCAGAAAAAAAGCAAGCAGUUAAUGCUGGUAGCUCUGUUGACUAUGUAAUCCUGAGGUAGCGUCCAUAGGAAAAUGGCCACGCAGCUUAAACAAGAAGUAAGAAUAUUUUUAGCGUGUCGAAACUGUUUAAAAUGCUGAAAUGGGAGUAGGGCGAGGAGGGUGGUUUAAAAAAAGCAAAACAAACAAAACAAAAACAAAACAAAACAAGAAAACAGCACCCGUCCCUUGUGAUUCUCUGGUUUUGUCUGAGUUUUUUUUUCUUCCCUACGAUCAGUCAUGUGUGUCAGCUGUUUGCUGCCUUAAGACUGCACCUACGUGCAAGAUGUAUUUGCCUAGUAGUAAUAAUAUUUUUGUGAUGCUUGCCAUCUGGCAGAUAGGUCGCACACCUUUGUAUUAAAAUCUGUGGCUCCCUGUUUGCGUGUUGCUGUGUUUUAUGGAUGGAGACUCCGGUGCACGGACUUGUUAGGUUACAGUUUUGGUCUGAGGAAUUGUUCAGAGCUUACUAUUUAUUAUCAGAAAUAGGGCUUCACUAUUCCUCUGUCUUGCUGGAUCUGGUAGGACCAAUCCAUUAGUGGGCAAACAGUUUGUCUGCCUAAAAAAUGUUGGGUUCAUUUCCUAAAAGAAAUGCUAACCAGCUAACGCAGAGUAAGAGAUCCAAGUACCUUCUUUACCCGGUGGUUCAGGAGGUGCUGGAAGUUUGAGGUUCUGAUCCAAAAGUGUAUGUGCAGGUCACAAGGUGUAAAUACCUGUCAAAAACGAUCUCAAAAUCGUACGCCCAUUAAAAGCUGCGUACAAAUACUAGUCCCACUGCCAUUUACAGUAGCAAGAUGACCUCUCUUGAAUAAAGUUAAUAAAUUUGUGUCA
Anser brachyrhynchus (Pink-footed goose) is the source of this 1973-nucleotide long non-coding RNA. The record is from Ensembl. NCBI's taxonomy places the organism in Eukaryota, Metazoa, Chordata, Aves, Anseriformes, Anatidae.